UUAGAGUUUGAUCCUGGCUCAGAUUGAACGCUGGCGGCAGGCUUAACACAUGCAAGUCGAACGAUGAUUGCCCAGCUUGCUGGGCAUGAUUAGUGGCGAACGGGUGAGUAAUGCUUAGGAAUCUGCCUAUUAGUGGGGGACAACAUUCCGAAAGGAAUGCUAAUACCGCAUACGUCCUACGGGAGAAAGCAGGGGAUCGCAAGACCUUGUGCUAAUAGAUGAGCCUAAGUCGGAUUAGCUGGUUGGUGGGGUAAAGGCCUACCAAGGCGACGAUCUGUAGCUGGUCUGAGAGGAUGAUCAGCCACACUGGGACUGAGACACGGCCCAGACUCCUACGGGAGGCAG
Molecule: ribosomal RNA, 345 nt
Filed under: uncultured Acinetobacter sp.
Lineage: Bacteria; Pseudomonadati; Pseudomonadota; Gammaproteobacteria; Moraxellales; Moraxellaceae
Description: bacterial SSU rRNA
Rfam family: Bacterial small subunit ribosomal RNA
Source: RNAcentral